GACGAACGCUGGCGGCGUGCUUAACACAUGCAAGUCGAACGGAAAGGCCCUGCUUUUGUGGGGUGCUCGAGUGGCGAACGGGUGAGUAACACGUGAGUAACCUGCCCUUGACUUUGGGAUAACUUCAGGAAACUGGGGCUAAUACCGGAUAGGAGCUCCUGCUGCAUGGUGGGGGUUGGAAAGUUUCGGCGGUUGGGGAUGGACUCGCGGCUUAUCAGCUUGUUGGUGGGGUAGUGGCUUACCAAGGCUUUGACGGGUAGCCGGCCUGAGAGGGUGACCGGCCACAUGGGGACUGAGGCACGGCCGAGAGUCCGACGGGAGGGAGCGGUGGGGAAUAUUGCGCAAUGGGCGGAAGCCUGAACCCGCAACGCCGCGUGCGGGAUGACGGCAUUCGGGUUGUAAACCGCUUCCGCCUGUAACGAAGCGUGAGCGACGGUAAUGGGUAAAGAAGCAAACGCUAACUACGUG
Molecule: ribosomal RNA, 468 nt
Filed under: uncultured bacterium
Lineage: Bacteria
Description: partial 16S ribosomal RNA
Rfam family: Bacterial small subunit ribosomal RNA
Source: RNAcentral